UCUUACUCGGUGGGACUCCUUACCUCACUGACCUACAAGUUACAGAGGCCAUUGGAUCAUGGACGGCUCUCCUGGAUGUGGAUAAAGAGCGGGUCAACUACCAGCCCCGGCACCAGCCUCAACUUACACACGGCCGCUUUAAGGCACCAAAACGCUCCGGGGUGACACCAGGAGUGGAAAGUGUCAAAAGGUGUCUCAGUGGACAUCCUGGGUUCCAGCUCAGUGGCCAAGCACCAGCCGCUUGGUUCAAUUAAGUUUUCUUUGUAUAGCCCAAAUUCACAACAACAGUCGUCUCCAUGUUAAGGCUGUAUGCAUCAAGCUUAGCAGAUUACAUGAGACUCCCACCAAAAAGGUUGGAGGUGGUCCAAAACCCUCACGGAUUACUACCAUACCCAGGAUUUAGUGCAGAGGCUGAUGGAUCCAUGAUCCAGCUGUUUGAGCUCAAUCAGAGGAAACUCCUUCAGUGGUUUCAGCGGCGGCAGAAAAACCAACAAAUGAGGCCGAGGACACUCAUUGACUCCACCCGAGCCAGUUGCUGUAGCUGCAAGCGACCUUCCAGCUCCAAGGGAUAAAAUGGAUGAGGCACCACAUCCACAUCUGGGCCAAACUUCAAAUGGAUUCUCCCUCUAAAUAGAGCAGGACAGCAGGAGUCAGUGACAGAAAAAUGUUUAGACACACCUGAAAUGUGUGUAUUUUUCCACAAAUGUGAUGAAGCACCUAAACCUUCAGCUGCUGGAUUUUCAGAGUCGACUUUUCCAGAGUGAGGAUGUGGGAUUUGAACAAUUGGGUCAGACGCUACACACAGACGUUCGAUCCA
Oryzias latipes (Japanese medaka) is the source of this 817-nucleotide non-coding RNA. NCBI's taxonomy places the organism in Eukaryota, Metazoa, Chordata, Actinopteri, Beloniformes, Adrianichthyidae. The record is from RefSeq and is a predicted model, not a curated record.